UAUUCUUGAAAUUUAAAAAAUUUGGCGGUAUUUUAGUCUAGUUAGAGGAACCUGUUUUAUAAACGAUACUACACGCAUUAUCUUACUUCUUUUUGUAUUCAGUUUGUAUACCGUCAUUAUUAGAUAAUUUGAGAAAUAACAUUAUUAGGAUCAAUAUUUUGAGUAUAUUAGAUCAAGGUGCAGCUUAUAAAUAAGAAAAAAUGGGUUACAAUAAAAUUUAUUUAUUAACGGAGUUAAAAUUUAAAAAUUUUAAUGAAGGAGGAUUUAAUUGUA
Molecule: ribosomal RNA, 273 nt
Filed under: Cambaroides dauricus
Lineage: Eukaryota; Metazoa; Arthropoda; Malacostraca; Decapoda; Cambaridae
Description: partial 12S ribosomal RNA
Source: RNAcentral